RNAcentral lists this small RNA (107 nucleotides) under Marmota monax (woodchuck). Lineage: Eukaryota; Metazoa; Chordata; Mammalia; Rodentia; Sciuridae. The record is from RNAcentral.
GCUGGAUGCAGUGGUGCACACCUGUAAUUCCCACUACUCAGGAGGCUGAGGCAAGAGAAUCGAAAGUUCAGGGUCAACCUUGGUAACUUAAUGAGAUCCUGUCUCAU